AGCGUAGGCGGAUUUUUAAGUGAGAUGUGAAAUACUCGGGCUUAACCUGAGUGCUGCAUUUCAAACUGGAAGUCUAGAGUGCAGGAGAGGAGAAGGGAAUUCCUAGUGUAGCGGUGAAAUGCGUAGAGAUUAGGAAGAACACCAGUGGCGAAGGCGCUUCUCUGGACUGUAACUGACGCUGAGGCUCGAAAGUGUGGGAGCAAACA
This 206-nucleotide ribosomal RNA is filed under the name uncultured bacterium. RNAcentral describes it as "partial 16S ribosomal RNA". It matches the Rfam family "Bacterial small subunit ribosomal RNA", at positions 568 to 774 of the family's 1533-position model. The record is from RNAcentral.